GAGGAUUUAAAAAAUAAAAAAAAGUGAAGAAUAUUAAUGUUAAGAAUUGUGUAUAAUAGAUGUAAUUUAGAACACACCUGCAAUAUCUUUGGUCCAUGAAUUAAAGUACAUGUGUCUUUUUCUAAGCCUGAGAAUUGGAAUGUUUAUCUGAUAAAGUCAUACCAUUCAUAAUGUGUACUGUUUUCUCUGCUUUCAAAAUUUUUCUCCUUGAACCUACCCUGAUCUACCCUAGCUUUCUACUACAAUGUCAGGAAACUAAAAUGUCAUGUGACAUAUACUAUUGGUAUUAGUUUCAGAUUUCUCCUUGAACUUGUUAAUUAUUGGGAAAAAUAAACUUGUGGAAAAGGAAAGGGCAUGGAAUGAUGUAAUUUUUAAUCAACAAUACAGAGUUCUUGAAAAGUGGUUGUCCCAGGGAUUUGACCACCACAUUUUUAGGAAGGGCCUACACAAUUUUGCAAUUUCGCAAUAGAAAUAAUAGCAAGAGCCUGCAAAUUUUCUUCAAGUACCACCAUGGAAAAAAAGAUUUUGAGAACUCUGAAAAAAAUUGACCUAUA
Molecule: long non-coding RNA, 554 nt
Filed under: Mytilus galloprovincialis (Mediterranean mussel)
Lineage: Eukaryota; Metazoa; Mollusca; Bivalvia; Mytilida; Mytilidae
Source: RNAcentral